AUGGAACGUGGACUGCCAAAUAUUCCCGUUUCCCCUCUUCCCGCCGAUGCAAGGGGACAUGUUCGGGGUUUUGGUGGCGGCGGCGGGUUUGGGGGAGGAGCAGGAGGGUUCGGAGGUGGUUUUGGAGGGGGUGGAGGGUUCGGCGGCGGCGGGAAUAUUCUCCCGUUCCCCCUUUUUCCGAUGCCAUUUGACAUGGGAGGAUUUGGACAGCCAGGCGUCAUAAUCACCAACAUUACUAUUCCCGGAGGACCGGCGGGUCCCGGAGGAUCAGGACCUGGAUCGUCACCUCGGCCGACCGGCGGGACUGCCCCAGGCGGCUCAACGCCUUCAGGAGGAGGUAGCUCGCGGCCUCCAUCGGGCCCUAGCUCAUCGCCGAGACCCUCGGGACCUCCAGGAGGCGGAGGAACAGGAGGCGGAUCAGGUCAACCAGGUCGGCCAGGAGGUCCGGGGGCAGGCGGGCCUCCCGGAGGAGCAGGCGGCCCCGGGGGAGGUGGUUCCCCGGAGGUUCGGGAGCUCCAGGCGGGGCGCGACCCCCUGGAGCAGGGGGGCCUGGGGCUCCAGGAGGAGGCAGCUCGCCCCGACCUCCAUCAGCCCCGGGUGGGGCAGGCGGGGGAUCCUCCCCAAGACCCGGAGGUGCACCAGGAGGAGCCGGUGGACCCGGAGGUGGUGGACCAGGCGGUCCAGGCGGGAGACCCGGUAGUGCACCAGGAGGAGCAGGGGGGCCUGGAGGUGGUGGACCAGGUGGACCAGGUGGGGGUUCGUCCCCAAGACCCGGUGGUGCACCCGGAGGAGGUGGACCAGGUGGCCCAGGUGGGGGCUCGUCCCCAAGACCUGGUGGCGCUCCGGGUGGAGGUGCACCAGGGGGAGGUUCAGCACCAGGGGGAGGGGCUAGACCAACUGGCGCCGGUGGACCUGGUGGUCCUGGGGGUGCAGGGGGUGCAGGUGGACCUGGAGGAGCAGGUGGAGGUUCUGGUGGACCUGGAGGUGCUGGAGGUGCUGGAGGUGCCGGUGGACCUGGAGGUCCGGGCGGUGGUGGACCUGGUGGUGGAGGAGGAGGUUCAUCGCCAAGACCGAUGCCAGGGUCGAGUCCCCGACCUCCAAGUGGACCUGGCACAUCUCCUCGACCUUCUGGACCCCCUGGACCACAACCAACAAGACCCCCCACCACCGCCACCGUAUACUACAUCUAUCCUCAAUGGUGUAAUGUAUGGUGCCGUCUGUACUAUAAACCAAAACCGGUGUACUACACGCCAUCUUGUCUACUUUAUGGCUGGAUGGGCUUUGGUGGCGGUUUUGGCUGGUAGAAGUUUCUUUUAUGGGUAUCGUCAUCAUCGGCUGAACAGUUGGACUCCAACGCUUUACAUUAUUACAUAAGUUCCUUACUUUCUAAUCCCUCUGUUGCUAGAAACUAGUUGCUAAAUGAUAAUAUUCUGUAAUUAUCAUUCUGUUUAGUAAAACAUAGAAUCAAUUGAAGGUAUUUUGAAAAAAUAGAGAGAAAAUAGCUAGAAUGCCAAUAACAAUAGGUACCCACAUCGCAUUUUCUCGUACAUGAACUAGCUCUGUGAAAUCGGAACUAACUAGCUUUGUAGGUGUGAGAUACAUACCUAUUAUUUACUUUUGUUUUGUUAUGCAGACUUUUUAGAAGAAGAGUUUCCAACUUGAAUAUCUGCCCAUAAGAUGCUUAUGACAAAAUGACGACGGAAUAAGUGCCAUAUUUUAAGUCGGAUCUCAUGAGGGCAAAACAUUUAACCGAAAAAGCAUUGCAACUUGCAUUUAUAUGGCAUUUGAACUUUUGAAUGGUUCUUACUCUCAGGAUCAAUUUGAAUUAUUUCAUCACUUGCAGUUUUAAAUACUAGAAUGAAAAUAUCGACGGUGUAAGUCGGCAAUCACAUAACUCGGUUUGCAACGUCGCAGACUUCCUGUCAUACUUUAUCUUUUAAACGGAAAACUACUCAACGGCAAUUCUUUAAAACUGCCGUGAUUUUUCUUCUCUGUGCGAAGAAAAUUAUGCAAAAAUUUCAAGGAAUGAUGUCAAUUUGUUCUCCUAUAAAAAAUAACAUAGAGGCGGAGAUUUUCAGACAUCGCAAACGAGUUAUGUGAUUGCCGACUUACACCGUCGAUAUGUCCGAUAAUGCACCAUGUAUGCAUACAAAAGUUAAAAUUUUAAGGAAUGUCACUUGCAUCAAAAAACUCGGAUACAGACAAUAAACGGUCAAUUACGCCUUAAAGGCAUCGAGAUCAACAACGUGCACUACCAUGAUCAGUUUAAUCUUGAUUGUUUCUCCUUGUUCACUUCACUCUUUAGGCUUUCUUGGAUAGGUUUUUAUUAUAUUUUUAUGAAAUGUUGCCCAGUAUUUAUGUCAAACAUUUGUUUUUAUUUUAAGUAAUUUAUUUUCAAUGAAUCGUUGUUUAUCAGACUGUUCAUUACUAUUUAUUAUAGAUUAAAUUAAUUUAUAGAUACUGCAAUG
RNAcentral lists this long non-coding RNA (2468 nucleotides) under Bemisia tabaci. Its description in RNAcentral is "lncRNA ENSSSA3NGG002376". Lineage: Eukaryota; Metazoa; Arthropoda; Insecta; Hemiptera; Aleyrodidae. The record is from RNAcentral.